Molecule: non-coding RNA, 685 nt
Filed under: Pan troglodytes (chimpanzee)
Lineage: Eukaryota; Metazoa; Chordata; Mammalia; Primates; Hominidae
Source: RNAcentral
GAGGUUCGCGCUGGUGGAGCACCCCAGCUUGCAGGUUCAGCGUGGGUGUCUCUCCCGGGCACAUCGAGCUGUCUAGAGGAACCCUCUUCCCCUGGCUUCACGGCCCAGAGGACGCACGGCUCUCUCCCCUCGAGAGCGUGUUUCGUCGCCGGCGCGGGGAACGCAAAGUGCUAGGGUAGUCACGGCCACUUCACGCCGAGGGACAUCUCAUCUCGCCCUCCAGGUCGUGAGCGCACCCAUUCCGCUCACUGAGGCCGAAAGCUUCGGACCUCCGUGGGCCCUGAGACUUCAGCGUUCCAUGUCUGCUGUGCUGUGGAACCCAGAGUGCUCUUGCCUGGAUGGCUGAGAAUCCCUUGGACCCUGGAAGCACCUACUCCAUGAUGGCCCGCAGGAGGACCAAACUGGAGACAGUCCUGGCUCUGAGGAAACAAGAAGGAAGGAGGGUGAAAGGAAGGUCCACCUGCACACAAAGGAAAGAUGAAAAAGAAUCACCUACCAUGGGACCUGGCAAAGUACUUCAGAACUUUUAUUCCUUCCAGAAGCAGUGUAUCACAUAGAUUGAAUCAAGAAGUGACAUUAAGGCCAGCGCGGUGGCUCACGCCUGUAAUCCCACCACUUUGGGAGGCCGAGGCGGGCAGAUCACGAGAUCAGGAGAUCAAGACCAUCCUGGCUAACAUGGUGAAAC